Molecule: ribosomal RNA, 305 nt
Filed under: uncultured bacterium
Lineage: Bacteria
Description: bacterial SSU rRNA
Rfam family: Bacterial small subunit ribosomal RNA
Source: RNAcentral
GUGAGCCUACGGGAGGCAGCAGUAGGGAAUUUUCGUCAAUGGGCGCAAGCCUGAACGAGCAAUGCCGCGUGAACGAGGAAGGUCUUCGGAUCGUAAAGUUCUGUUGAAGGGGAAAAAGAGCGGAGAGAGGAAGUGAACUCCGAUUGAUAUUACCCUUCGAGGAAGUCACGGCUAACUACGUGCCAGCAGCCGCGGUAAUACGUAGGUGGCGAGCGUUAUUCGGAAUGAUUGGGCGUAAAGGGUGCGUAGGCGGCCUGCUAAGUCUGGAGUGAAAGGUACCGGCUCAACCGGUACAGGCUCUGGAA